RNAcentral lists this ribosomal RNA (427 nucleotides) under uncultured bacterium. RNAcentral describes it as "bacterial SSU rRNA". It matches the Rfam family "Bacterial small subunit ribosomal RNA", at positions 355 to 774 of the family's 1533-position model. The record is from RNAcentral.
UGGGGAAUUUUGGACAAUGGGCGCAAGCCUGAUCCAGCAAUGCCGCGCGCAGGAUGAAGGCCUUCGGGUUGUAAACUGCUUUUGUACGGAGCGAAAAGGUCUGCCCUAAUACUGUGGGCUCAUGACGGUACCGUAAGAAUAAGCACCGGCUAACUACGUGCCAGCAGCCGCGGUAAUACGUAGGGUGCGAGCGUUAAUCGGAAUUACUGGGCGUAAAGCGUGCGCAGGCGGUUAUAUAAGACAGAUGUGAAAUCCCCGGGCUCAACCUGGGACCUGCAUUUGGGACUGUAUAGCUAGAGUACGGUAGAGGGGGAUGGAAUUCCGCGUGUAGCAGUGAAAUGCGUAGAUAUGCGGAGGAACACCGAUGGCGAAGGCAGUCCCCUGGACCUGUACUGACGCUCAUGCACGAAAGCGUGGGGAGCAAACA